Molecule: long non-coding RNA, 1147 nt
Filed under: Sinocyclocheilus grahami
Lineage: Eukaryota; Metazoa; Chordata; Actinopteri; Cypriniformes; Cyprinidae
Description: lncRNA (ENSSGRG00000020559.1)
Source: RNAcentral
AGGGAGACAGGUGAUAAAAGUGGAGAAAAUGGAGUUAAAAUCAGUGGUACCAAAUUCAAAGCCUAAGGCAUUCGUCAAUGUCAGAGGUGAUUUGCUGGCAGACAGCAUUGAUAACUCUAUUAAGGAGGACUCUCUGGCAGCGUUGAUCCGGAUGCCCGGCGGGUGUGUCGAGCAGAACCUGGCCAGAAUCACGCUGCCUCUCAUUGCCGCCCAUUACCUGGACCGCAGUGGAAACUGGAACGCUGUGGGAAUAGAUCGCAGACAAGAGGCCAUCAAAUACAUCCAGACAGGUGCACAAUGAGACUCAAAUAUGAACGAACAUCAUUCUUUCAGAUGUUUUAGAUAAUUUUUUUAUAUUUUUAUUUUUUAUAGGUUAUGAAAAUCAACUUAAUUAUCGAAAAAAGGAUGACUCAUACCCUCCCUAUGCCAAAGAAGGCACCAGCACAUGGUACUCAUGCUAACACAUUACUGAUCACAGCUUCACAUUGAACAUGUGUCUGUCAUGUUAAUGUGUCUUUAUGUUCUGUCCAUCUCAGGAUCACUGCAUACGUGGUGAAGGUUUUCUCCAUGGUAAAAUCAUUUAUAAACAUCAAUGACAAGAAUCUGUGUGGCCCUCUGGUGUACCUGCUCAAGAAUAAACAGCAUCCUGAUGGAUCCUUUCAGGAGGACAAUCCUGUCUACGACACCAGUAUGAUGGUGAGUAUUGUUUGCGAGAAUAAAUGUGAUAACAUUAAUUGUAGUAGUUUCAUAAUAAUUAUUAAAAGGGUAAAACUGCUAUCUGAAUGCUUUCUCACAGUACUAACAUAUGUCGUUAUGUUCACUGUGUUGGUAUAAAGGGAGGCCUGCAAGGCUCUGAAUCCAGAGUGUCUCUGACCGCAUUCGUGCUCAUUGCUUUGGCAGAGGCACAAAAUGCUCUUACCUGCCAAGAGCCAGGCCUCAACAUACAGGGCAAUUCCAGUAAAGCAGUGGAGUAUCUAAGGCAGAAUUUCCCUCGACUGAAGAGGCCGUACACAGUGGCUAUAGCAUGCUACGCUUUAGCAGUAUCCAACCAUGGCUGCAUGAAGAGCAUGCUGUUAAAGUUUGCCUCAACGGGUACAUAAAUAUAUAACCUCAAUUUUUACAGUUACCUUUCCAAUAGGUACUGUUU